Molecule: long non-coding RNA, 677 nt
Filed under: Elaeis guineensis (African oil palm)
Lineage: Eukaryota; Viridiplantae; Streptophyta; Magnoliopsida; Arecales; Arecaceae
Description: long non-coding RNA (EGUI_LNC066785)
Source: RNAcentral
AGGCACGUAAUUGAAAGGUGGUUAUUUAAUUGGUUCCGUUCGUUUAUCUAGCCAAUUUAUUGGUAUCUAAGGAAAGCAACGGGGGGACCCCCACCAAUCUUCACUUACCUGGCCAAUUUGAAAGAUUGAGUCUCAAAUAUGAUUGCUUAGCAGUUUGAUUUAGCCCAUGCAAUUAGAUCAGUCAUAUGAUGACUAAUUAGAUGAGAUCUAAACUUAAAUCUCUCUAUAAAUAUCAAGUCCAAUGAUCUUCCAUCAUUGUAGAUGUGCGGACGUGCUAUCGGUAUUGAUUGUUCUCGGCUAGUUAUAGUGGUUUAGUUGCAUUGGGAUCAUACAAUCACUUUAUUAGCAAAGAAUUGCUCUAGAAUAAAGAUGAGAUUAGGUCCAAUAACUGGUAGGUGAGCAACCCAGUGAUGGCUCUAUACCUGCCUGUGAACGAUGGGUCUGACUUAACUAAGAAGUGCGGGCAAUAACUGUUAGGUGAACCCACAUGACUUAGAGAUCAAGUAGUUGCAACAUGCUUAGAGAAGCAUCUAGGUAAAGAGUUGUCCAUGCAUCGGUGUUUGUUCAUGUUACCAAUAAUUGUUAGGUGAGGUGCACGAUAUCGGUGGGACCGCAGCACCCACUUGAAAUUUAGUUGUUGCGUUAGGAUUUUUGUUUCUCCAUCCAAAGAGUUUGAG